RNAcentral lists this ribosomal RNA (261 nucleotides) under uncultured bacterium. Its description in RNAcentral is "partial 16S ribosomal RNA". It matches the Rfam family "Bacterial small subunit ribosomal RNA", at positions 524 to 782 of the family's 1533-position model. The record is from RNAcentral.
UACAGGGGGUGCAAACGUUGCUCGGAAUCAUUGGGCGUAAAGCGCACGUAGGCGGUUCGUUAUGUCGGAUGUGAAAGCCCUUGGCUUAACCGAGGAAGUGCAUCCGAAACUGGCGAGCUAGAGUACGAAAGAGGAUCGCGGAAUUCCCGGUGUAGAGGUGAAAUUCGUAGAUAUCGGGAGGAACACCGGUGGCGAAGGCGGGUCUCUGGGCGAGUAACUGACGCUGAGGAGCGAAAGCGUGGGGAGCGAAACAGGAUUGAG